Numida meleagris (helmeted guineafowl) is the source of this 4432-nucleotide RNA transcript. It is a transcript of the gene named cyclin B1, with no coding region annotated. NCBI's taxonomy places the organism in Eukaryota, Metazoa, Chordata, Aves, Galliformes, Numididae. The transcript is spliced from 8 exons. The record is from RefSeq and is a predicted model, not a curated record.
ACUUUUUUUUGUUUGCUGGAAGGGCUAAGAAUCAAAAAGCCUCUCAAAAAAAAAAAGUACUUUUUUGUGAAUAUCUGCAAACACAGUAGUUUGAAGCUUAAAGUAAUUAAUUGGUGAGUAUGCUAACACAGCAAAUCUUCUGCAAGAUGGAUUAUUUUGUCAUUUACUUGAUUUUUAUCAUACAGAAUAACAAGUUGGAUGGACUUCAUAUUCUCAUAUUCUUUGUGAUAAUUAACUAUUCCUUAGCUUUCAGUUGUGCCAAAAUCUAUUUUACAUUGGCAGUUAAUAGAUUAGGGAAAGCAGCUGAGUGAACCGGCUGGUCAAAUCUUUGCUGCUUGUGACUCAGUCAUUGCUAAAGUGAUAUUCAGUUGCUUUUUCUUCUUUGAAUUUCGUUCAAGAUAAUCUGUGGUGAUUGAAUUUCUAGCUAGGCACGAGGGAAAUUCUUCCAUUCUGGAUAGGUAAUAAGGGCAUGCUUAAGCUAUUGGAAUUAAAAAUAUAUAUAUUUUUAAAAUCUAACUGUACCAUAAUGCAGCUGCAAGUGCAUGGUAGCAAAUUACACUGAUUAUAUAUUACUCGAGGAAGUAGUCCAGGUUUAGAAUGCCACACCGUAGUAGUCUGGGACUUGGCAAGCUGUUGAAACAAACUGUAAAUUGAGACUCACUGACUGGAAAGAAAAAGGAUGUAUUUAAGAAAGAAUGAAUGCAUUUUGGGGUCUUGGAGAAGACAAAUCUCUCUUUAGGGAAAACCUGUUUACAGCAGUCAUAAUAUAUGUCUUCAGAGGCAUCUUUACAUCUUCCUUUACCUCCUUCUCUUGUCUGAAAACCCCUAAAUAUUUUACUUGAAGUUCAGGAACCAAUUCAGUUGUUAGCAAGAGUGAGUACAUAUUUCAUAAUUCUGUGUAUCACAGCACUCCUAUUUUGUGAUGCUGCUUUCUUGUUCUAGGUAUUUAUGUACCUGUGCGUCAUAAUAGAGACUUAACUAUUGAUGUUAGUGAAAUUAGGUGAAGUGUUGUAGAACAUACUGUACCAGAUCAGUUCUAGCAGCAGUGCAGUCUGAGAUAUCCCUGAACAGUUCUGCUUGUGAUCAGUCAGUAUAUACAAACAGGGAUGUUUCUCUUCUAACAGUUUGCAUUCUGUUCUGCCCUGCUGGUGCUGUAUUUGUCUCAUACUGCAGGUAUUGUUUUGACUUGAAAAAUUAUGGUCAGAAAACAUCUAGAAGUUGCUUUUAUAUUGGUUUGCGUAGUGAAUCUUGAUCAUCCUGAAAUCCGUCAUUUCCCAGGAUAGUGCUGCAGAACGAGCAGAAUUCUCAGUGUUUGAUCACAGUUUCUCCUAUUUCAAGCAUUUUGCAGUGGUUUUCUCACCUUCCCUCCUCUGCAAGGCUCAUGGCAGUUCAGUAACUGUGCUGCACUUAAAAUUGUUUCAAAAGCAUAGCAAAUGGUUUCUGGUUUUGAAAACCAUUUUCAAGCAAAAAGCUGCAGUUAAACGUACCACUCACAUUGAAGUGAUUGCAGUGGCACUGACAGCAUUUCACCAAACUGAGCACUACCCCAGUCUCAACAGAUGAGAAGAGUUCGUUUGUUGUUGUUUUGAUUUUUGGUUGGUUUUGUGCUGUUGUUUUGUGUUGGGUUUUUCACUCAAGUUAGCUUGACCUAAUUGAAAAAGCCUUACUGGUUGUCAUGGCUUUCACUAAGCACAUACUCAUUUCCUGCUUCAGCUGCUUGUACACGGGCACAAAACCACACUGGGGUGGCUGGGAACACCUCAGGUGACCAUGCCAUGGCAGUGAGGUUCAGCCAUUGCAUGAAUACUUAACGGACAAGAGCAGGCCUGCAUUUUUGCAGGCAAACAGCAGCUUUUCAUGUGUUACCAAACACAUACUGAUGCUCACUCUUUUUCCUGGAUACCCUGACAGAUAUACAGUUGUCCAUCUUAAGUUAGUUUCACAAGAGCCCUUAUCUGCUAGUAAGCCUCCAGAGAAAGGGUUCAGGCUCUGCUCGAGCUCUGAGAGAAGUGUGCUGUAAGGGCAGUUUCUCAAAUCACAGGCAUAGGCCAGUUGAUUUGAUUCAUGGUACAGCAGGGAAGUUCUUGUCCUACUCACUUGGUCUGUGUGCAGAUGGGUCCCAUGAAACACGUUCAAAGGUGAAGUUAAACGAAACCUUGGCUAUAUACAUUUGACAGCAAGCAGUAUCAGUAUAUUCAGAGAAAAUUAGAAUAUUUUUCAAGUAUGUUUUAAUUUUAUGUAGUGCAUCUUUUCUGGUUAAACGUCUGGGAUGGAAACAGAGAAAUUUAUUUUUAAAAAGUCUGUGUAAGUACAUAGUUCCAGCUCCCAUCACAAGCAGGGUUAGGGAACAGAGCAGGGAGCUUGGGAGCACGCUUCAACAAGAAAUGCCGGGGAGGGGCUGAGUUCCCUCUGUAGUUCUGUUGACUGGGGACACUUGAUCUAGGCUUCACCUGUUUGCGGGAGCCUUGUAUUAUAUUAUACAGACGAUCAAUUAGCUAAUUAUAAAAUGGGGCUUCUCCGUGAAAUACACUUUCUGCUCCAUUUUUCUCUGCUGCCCGACGGUAGAACCUGAGGGAAGGGCAUGGAACUGCAUCAGGGGAGGUUAGGUAGGGUGUUAGGAACAGGUUCUGCACCAGAGGGCGGCGGGCACUGGAACAGGCUGCCCAAGGCAGCGCUCUCGGACCCGCGCUGCCGGAUUCCGAGGAGCGCUCGGACCCCGCUGGCAGACUCAAGGCUGUUGGGGCCGGGAGCCUCGUCCCCUGCAGCCACCACAGCGCCCCCUGCCGACCUCACCUCUGCGCUGCACCGCGCCGGUCCCCGGCCCGCCCCUGAGAGGAGGGCAGGCGCUGCGGGAGCCAAUGGGCGGCGGCGAGCAGCAGCAGCUGGCGGCUGGUUUAAAGCCGCGGCGGCAAGACCGGCUCGCCCUAAGUGUCGAGCCGCACUACUCUGAGCUUUAACAACUUCGACUCCAAGCGACAAGUCGCUGCGAUGCGCCGUGCCAUACCGCAGAACACCGACAGGUCAGCCGAGACGGUGCCCGACGACACCGACGGGUGCGCCGUGCCCGCUGCGAAUCCGGAUGACGCAAGGAGGCGGCGGGAGCCCUCUACGCGCACCGCACUACUAGACGUCUGCAGCAAUCUCAGCCGGCUCCCGCCUCGGGCCCCCGGGAGGUUCAGCGGGAGCGAGGCGGGUUCCAGCACCACCGUAACCGCUGCCCCGUCGCGGGUCCUCAGCAGGUUCAGGAGGAGGGGGACGAGUUUCGGCAGCCCCUUCCCAGCUGCCCUGCCCGGGAGGAAGCCGUGGUGCAGGAAUGCGCGGAAAGCCGCCGCCAAAGAGGCCGUGCUGCUACCGCUGCUGCAGGAGGAGCUGAAGCCUAAGCAGCUAGAAUACAAAUCUCCUACAGAAACAUCAGAGUGUGCCUCAACAGAAACUCAGCUGUGCAAGGCUUUUUCUGACGUCCUGCUCGAAGUAGAAGUUGUGAACGCUGAAGGCAGUGCAGAUUCCUAUCCAUGCAACGAUUAUGAGAGAGACAUCUACAACUAUCUUAGAGAUCUUGAGAUGAGACAAGCGAUCAAGCCCCAGUACUUAGCAGGCCAGGAGAUUACUGGGACCAUGCGCGCAAUGCUGAUUGAUUGGCUUGUACAAAUACAUCUAAAAUUGAAACUCUUUCAAGAAACUCUGUAUUUAUCUGUUGCAAUACUCGAUCGCUUUCUACAGGACAAUGCUGAGACAAAAAGGAACUUAAAAUUGGUUGGCAUCACAGCGUUGUUCCUUGCUAGUAAAUAUGAAGAGAUAAACAUUCCACCGAUUGAUGAUUUUUCCAGUGCAACUGCUAAUGCUUUCACGGCAACCCAAAUUUGCCGGAUGGAAACAAAGAUUCUACAAGCCCUGGACUUUAGUUUCAGUCGUCCUCUCCCUCUACACUUUCUAAGAAGAGCUUCAAAAUUUGUAGAGGUGGAUGAGGAACAGCAGUUCCUAGCGAAGUACCUGUUGGAGUUAUCCAUCCUGGACUACGAUAUGGUUCACUUCCCUCCAUCCAUGACUGCUGCUGCUGCUUUCUGCUUGGCUAUGAAGCUUGUUGAUGGAGGUACCUGGCUCGUUUUCCUUUCAGACAUCAACUCUGGAACAGCACACAUCAUACAGUGAGAGUGACCUCCACCCUGUCAUGCAACAUCUGGCAAAGAACGUAGUUCUUGUGAACAAAGGCAUGACUGAGCACAUGGCAGUAAAGAACAAAUAUGCCCGAAGCGAAAACUUCAAGAUAAAAACUCAGAUGCAGCUGAACUCUCCGCUCAUCUAUGACCUCGCCCUGCCUUUGGUGGAUUCUUUCUCUGAAUUCCAGUAGUCUCAGCACUGAGUUUCUAUCUAUACUGUGUCUUACAUGUUUCACUUCUAAUAAUAAAGGAUGUUGUCUCCUGUUCUGCUGCAA